AGCAGCCGCGGUAAUUCCAGCUCCAAUAGCGUAUAUUAAAGUUGCUGCAGUUAAAAAGCUCGUAGUUGAAUUUCGGGACUGAUAUGUCGGUCGUGCCUCGGUACGUACUGGUAUUUUUGGUUUCUCCCUUCUGACGAACCUUGAUGUCAUUAAUUUGGUGUCUUGGGAAAUCAGGACUGUUACUUUGAAAAAAUUAGAGUGUUUAAAGCAGGCUCGCGCUUGAAUACAUUAGCAUGGAAUAAUGAAAUAGGACGUUUGAUUCUAUUUUGUUGGUUUCUAGGAUCGACGUAAUGAUUAAUAGGGAUAGUUGGGGGCAUUAGUAUUCAAUUGUCAGAGGUGAAAUUCUUGGAUUUAUUGAAGACUAACUACUGCGAAAGCAUUUGCCAAGGAUGUUUUCAUUAAUCAAGAACGAAAGUUAGGGGAUCGAAGACGAUCAGAUACCGUCGUAGUCUUAACCAUAAACUAUGCCGACUAGGGAUCGGAUGAUGUUAAUUUUUUAAUGACUCAUUCGGCGCCUUACG
Molecule: ribosomal RNA, 521 nt
Filed under: uncultured Glomus
Lineage: Eukaryota; Fungi; Glomeromycota; Glomeromycetes; Glomerales; Glomeraceae
Description: SSU rRNA
Rfam family: Eukaryotic small subunit ribosomal RNA
Source: RNAcentral